GUUGAUUUUAAUUAGUGUAAAGUUGUCUUCGUAACUUCCGUGUUGGUUGGAAAUAGGUUCAUUCUUUGUUUUGAAAAGGAGUCAAGCGCAGUGGUGAGAAGGGGAAGAGGAGAGCAGGCGGUUCCAGUGCGACCCAACGGCAGCCAGAGGCCGCCCUGCCCCGCCGGCCAGAAGCGGACUCGGUGCAGACAUGCAGCUCUCUCCGUGGAAUGUGCAUGUGCACGGAGAGACGGGAUUUCACCAUGUUAGCCAAGAUGGUCUCCAUCUCCUGACCUUGUGAUCCGCCCGCCUCAGCCUCCCAAAGUGCUGGAAUUACAGGCAUGAGCCACCACGCCCAGCCGUAUGAUUACCCUUAAGAGUUAACUACCACACUCAAAAGAGGGAGGAGUGGGAAGGAAGAGGCGACGUGAGGGAGCCACUUGGCAGGGGGAGCAGGCGUGCUCUGCAGAACCCCGUGGGCAGCACCAGCGAGUCAGCAAUGGGAAGAAGUGACACGACGGCACAACUCCCAACUCUUUGACCUAUUCAAAGAUGGAACUUCACAGAGAAUCAGCUCUGCUUUGUCCUAGACACAUUUAAAGAGAGCUGAGACGGCCUGUCAGGAAGCGCACACUACGCUGUGGGAACAAAAACACCAGGUGUCUGCUAUGGCCAAGGCAGAUAAGGUCUUUCUCUCCAACAGGAUCCAGAGAUGAGCCACUGGUACUAACACCCAACGGCUGAUGAAUACGUCUGCUGAGGGACACGUUCUACAAAACAAUGAAGUUUGCUGCAUCAACUGCAUUUUCCUUUCAUGAAAAAUUUCUCUGUACCAUGCAGUGGUGUUUGACAGCAUGUUACCCACAGUAGAAUUACUUUCAAAAUCUGAGUCAAUCUUCUCAAACCCUGCCGCUGCUUUAUCAACUAAAUUGUUUCAUAUGAACGUACCCUCCACGUGACCUCUUUAAUGCACUUGGCAAACUCCGUUAAUGCUGUUGAAGAAUGUAUGUUCUGUGCUGUGGUAAGAGGUGAUCGUAAUGCCCAAAUCAUCCAAUACACUAUCAUAAAGUGAAGUGAAAGACAUGUACUAGAUGUUUGCUUUGUGAAUGUGAAUGAAAGUCUUAUUUUGGGGGUGUAGUUUCUUAUGUUUUAAUAAAAACAGUAGUCAUUAUUUUAAAAAGCA
Long non-coding RNA from Homo sapiens (human), 1162 nucleotides. RefSeq lists it as uncharacterized. The record is from RefSeq and is marked validated. Lineage: Eukaryota; Metazoa; Chordata; Mammalia; Primates; Hominidae. The transcript is spliced from 6 exons.